UCGACUGCACGAAGAUGGAAUCGCUAGUAAUCGCGGAUCAGCACGCCGCGGUGAAUACGUUCCCGGGCCUUGUACACACCGCCCGUCACACCAUGGAAGUCUGCAAUGCCCGAAGCCGGUGGCCUAACCACUUAUGUGGAAGGAGCCGUCUAAGGCAGGGCAGAUGACUGGGGUGAAGUCGUAACAAGGUACC
Molecule: ribosomal RNA, 193 nt
Filed under: uncultured bacterium
Lineage: Bacteria
Description: partial 16S ribosomal RNA
Rfam family: Bacterial small subunit ribosomal RNA
Source: RNAcentral